GUAAUGCGGUGGCGCUUGUGAGGAGCGGGGGAGUUGGGGAAGUAGUUGGCAUUGGCCGACGGGAUGCUUACUCCCUUUUCUGGUUUGGUUUGGGCUUUUUUUGUUUUGUUUUGUUUUUUUUUUUUUUUCCCUGCAGAUGACGAAGAGGAGCCUGGCAACUGCAGGAAUAUCCCAGUUAGCCCGUGUGGUUUUUCUGGAUGAUGGAUUCAGCCCCUCGGCCCUCUGAAAGCUAAGUUGAGGGACCAGGGCUGGGGAGAGGCUGGGAGGAAGGGAGGAAGCUGGGAAUUGCAGGGAGGGGUUUUAAAGUUAUUGUAGGAGAGAGGGCUGUCCCAAAGCCGUCCCCUUUGCGCAGGCGAAGGGAGCGGGUUGCUUUUCAGCACGAGACCUGCGUGGGCAGGGCAGUUCCAGCCUGUGUCUGUGGUGGUGUGUAGUUUGUGUAGUCUGUCUUCUGUGCCUUAGAUCUUCCUUGGCUCUCAAUGCCAUCAUCAGUCUUUGCGCUCAGGGAGCGUGGCAUGCGCUUCGGGAGCCGUCCCUAGGGUCUUGAAUGCCCUUACUCAUCGGCACCGUGCCAAUCGGGUGCCUCUUUCCUUCCGCUCAGAGCUCUAAAGCGUGGAUCGGUGUCGGAAGGUUCCUGCUGGUUCUCUUUUGUGGCGCUCUUCCAGGCUGCUUUGGCAGCUCUGCUCUCUAGCGCUGUGUUGUCUUGGACUAGGCGUUCUUCCCAGCAUCUUGAUGUUCCUAGGUCUUGAUGACAGGCUUCUUGCGCAUCCAUCAUCUUGGUUUUGAGAGUACCUUCUUGUAAUGGGCCGUUACUUUUGCCUCUUGUUCUUUGGGGCUGUCAUAGAGCCUCCUCUCUUUGUGGUUUUGGAUGCUGUAGGUCAUCUUGCUGGAUGGCAACUCCCGUCCGGGAGUCAUUCUUCUUGCUGAGAGUUUUCUCUCUCUUUGAAUCACCUUGUUGGUAGCGUUCUGUGUUGUGUGUGUUUGUGCACGGGUGUGUUUGGCUUGGAGCUGCUCUGCCUGGGGAUGUAGAGUCAGGGGUAGGUGGAACAGCAAUAAGAGUCUGUGGGUGAAAUGUUGAUUUGACUUAAUUGUUUAGGCGAGGGUUGUACAGUAAUCUUGGCUCUAGUAGCGGUUGGUGGGCUUUGCGGACAGCCGUGCCGAUAGUGUUUUACGGAGAUAAUUGGAGCCAUGUGGCAUGGGCUGUUGAGGGGUAAUGAAGCAGAUCUGAGUCUCUAAGGCGUUAAGUCUUGCAUGUGAUGGGCUUAAAGUUUGGCCCUUUUUUUUUUUCCCUCUAAGAUGGCAGGCUGUAAUUGGACUCUAGAUGGUAUUCCUAGAUGGAAUCAAGACCUCUGGAAUUGUUAAGCUCUUGCUGUGCAUCUUGGUGACUUGUUCAAUACGGUUUUUUUUUCAGAUGCAGAGGGACAAGUGGCGUGCCACAGAGCGACGGAGGAGGGGAGCCGAGCAGCGUAAGAAGGUAUGAAGCAAGGAGCGAAGCGGGCCAUUGGUACUGGAGGUGACUCGGGCAAGGUGGAGCACGCAGCCUUGGAGGGGCGAAGUCGCAGGCUGAUGAGCAGUGUGAGAAGGCGCUGUGCGGGCCACCUUUGGAAUGGAAUGAGCGUUUGAGGUACCAUGAGAGAUGAUGGCUGCAGGGUCUGACUCUGGAAUGAGCGGAUGAUGAAGAGGAGCCUGGCGACUGCAGGAACAUCCUAAUGGUGACCCCGACGUGAUCGAGAGAGGACGACGACGUGAUUCCCCUUCACUGCGGAGACCAUGUAAUCUAAUGGGGAGAGUUUUGAAGAAGUGGCCACGACUCCGAGAAAAAUAGAUAACAGCAACUCCUGCGGAACGGGAACCAAGUGGAUUCCAGCUAAACACGUGAAGCCAUAUCAUGAGCUGACGAAACCACCUGGACAACCCUAUCCUGCAGAUGAAGACUCUGAAUUUGAAGGAGAAGAGACAAAUGAGGAGGAAGCAGCACAUUGAGAAUGAAAGAGCUAUCACAUAGGGACAUUUGAAGAGAAUGCAACAACAAGCUAGCGAGAUGAUGCAACGUGUAUCCUAUUCCAAAGAAUACCUUUUUUAGCAUACCUGGUAAUAGUGGCCAGCAACAGUAUUGUAAGAAUUCUGAUCCUUUUUCUUUGUGGAUGAGUUAAAAAAUGGGAUUUUGGUCCCUGGAUGAACACUGGGAGAGAGGUAUAUAGCCGAGGAAAACGCAGACUACUGGAUGAUGACAAUAUGCCGCACGUACAAAGCCCAUGAACCAACAGACAGGGUGGCUAUGGCUCAUGCAGCGUGCCUGGCCAGCAACCGCAUGCGUCAUAGGCUCCCUAUGUUACAAUCAAGGCGUCUUUUGGCACCC
Molecule: long non-coding RNA, 2356 nt
Organism: Aquila chrysaetos chrysaetos
Lineage: Eukaryota; Metazoa; Chordata; Aves; Accipitriformes; Accipitridae
Exons: 8
Source: RefSeq, a predicted model, not a curated record